GCCUACGGGGCGCAGCAGUGGGGGAUAUUGGACAAUGGGGGGAACCCUGAUCCAGCGACGCCGCGUGAGUGAAGAAGUAUUUCGGUAUGUAAAGCUCUGUCAGCAGGGAAGAAAGCAAUGACGGUACCUGACCAAGAAGCCCCGGCUAACUACGUGCCAGCAGCUGCGGUAAUACGUAGGGGGCAAGCGUUAUCCGGAUUUACUGGGUGUAAAGGGUGCGUAGGUGGCAGGGCAAGUCAGAUGUGAAAGCCCGGGGCCCAACCCCGGUACUGCAUUUGAAACUGUCCGGCUGGAGUGCAGGAGAG
RNAcentral lists this ribosomal RNA (305 nucleotides) under uncultured bacterium. RNAcentral's name for it is "bacterial SSU rRNA". It matches the Rfam family "Bacterial small subunit ribosomal RNA", at positions 337 to 656 of the family's 1533-position model. The record is from RNAcentral.